GGGAGUCUACAGGCACUGUGUCU
RNAcentral lists this non-coding RNA (23 nucleotides) under Arabidopsis thaliana (thale cress). Lineage: Eukaryota; Viridiplantae; Streptophyta; Magnoliopsida; Brassicales; Brassicaceae. The record is from RNAcentral.